Molecule: ribosomal RNA, 460 nt
Filed under: uncultured bacterium
Lineage: Bacteria
Description: partial 16S ribosomal RNA
Rfam family: Bacterial small subunit ribosomal RNA
Source: RNAcentral
CCUACGGGUGGCAGCAGUGAGGAAUAUUGGUCAAUGGGCGUGAGCCUGAACCAGCCAAGUCGCGUGAAGGAUGACUGUUCUAUGGGUCGUAAACCUCUUUUAUAAAGGAAUAAAGUGAGGGACGUGUGCCGUUUUGUAUGUACCUUAUGAAUAAGGAUCGGCUAACUCCGUGCCAGCAGCCGCGGUAAUACGGAGGAUCCGAGCGUUAUCCGGAUUUAUUGGGUUUAAAGGGUGCGUAGAGGGUCUGUUAAGUCAGCGGUGAAAGUUUGUGGCUCAACCAUAGAAUUGCAGUUGAUACUGGGAGGCUUGAGUAUGUUUGAGGUAGGCGGAAUGCGUGGUGUAGCGGUGAAAUGCAUAGAUAUCACGCAGAACCCCGAUUGCGAAGGCAGCAUACCGGUGCACAACUGACGCUCAGGCACGAAAGCGUGGGUAUCGAACAGGAUUAGAUACCCCUGUAGUC